Molecule: ribosomal RNA, 335 nt
Filed under: Polaruschakov sp. 690 PB
Lineage: Eukaryota; Metazoa; Annelida; Polychaeta; Phyllodocida; Polynoidae
Description: partial 16S ribosomal RNA
Rfam family: Bacterial large subunit ribosomal RNA (bases 50-335)
Source: RNAcentral
AAGGAUUAACGAAAUUCUCCCUAUAUUAAUUUUACUGUCUAAAAUCUGAAUUUCAAGUGAAGAUGCUUGAAUUAAUUUGAAAGACAAGAAGACCCUGUAGAGUUUUAAUAAAUAAUUUAUUCCUUAAUUAAUUUAUUUUAAUUGGGGCGAUUAAGGAUUUAUAAUUACAUCCUCAACCAAACUACGAAAAUUUUUCUAAAAACCAAUCCUAUUGAAUUAGAACUUAAAAUAAACUACCUCAGGGAUAACAGGCUUAUCUUCCUAAAGAGUCCAAAUUAACAGGAAGGUUUGGCACCUCGAUGUUGGCUUAGAGUAACCUAAUAAAGCAAAAAUUA